AGAAAGGGCGGGUCCUGGUGCUGAGCACGCCCCCUUCCCCGGAGGAAGAAGGUGAGAGUGAAAAAGCAGGUGGGAGAAUCACUCAUCUGGGCUGGACAAGGACAUCCACUGAUUAUUUUAGACCAAAAUUCAGCAUCCAGCUCUGGAAAUCUGACAGGGUGUCUGAGAACUGAGGGAAGGAUCGGUGGGUCACAGAACAACUACCAUCCAGAAACUGCAAAGAACUGACUCAUUGGAAAAGACCCUGAUGCU
This is a long non-coding RNA of Capra hircus (goat), 252 nucleotides long. RefSeq lists it as uncharacterized. The record is from RefSeq and is a predicted model, not a curated record. The transcript has 3 exons. NCBI's taxonomy places the organism in Eukaryota, Metazoa, Chordata, Mammalia, Artiodactyla, Bovidae.